UUGAUUUUCAGUGCUUUAGAAGAAUAAGUUUUGAUAUGUAUGAAACAUGAUUGUAUGCCGAUCCCUUGCUUCGCGCGCGAGUUUCCCGAUAGGGUUUUUUUUUGCGGAGUUUGUGUCUUUUUAGCUUUGGGUUCGAUGUUUUUGUUCGAUUAAUCGUUUUAUAGGGAAUAAAAAAAAGCCCAUAACAAUAGGAACGGGAAAAAAAAUUGCUAACCGAAAUGAAUCUGCCCCAAAAAUUAAAAACCCACGCGCGAGUUUGACUCGAAAGUAUGGGGUGUGACAACUUUCUUUAUUGACACGACACAGCAAUGUUGGGUCAUGUAUGUUGACAUAUUGAUUCUUGAAUGUGGAGGGAACCCUUAUGAUGCAGUGUCAUUGGCUGAGAAAUCGGCUCUUUUUUUGCAACACAAAUUCCAUCUAUUAAAAUAGCAACCAUGGACGGAUAUCAACCUGAUGUGGAGCUCUCAGAUGAUCCUUAUGAUACCAAGAGACUAAACACAGAGAACAUUCCUUGUGUACUGACUUUGAUGAAGAUUGGAAACCAUUUCCUAGUAGUUCCAACACCAAAAGAAAAAUGCUGCAGCUUUUCUGGUAUUAAAAUGAUUACUGCAGUUAGGAAAAUUGACAGUUGUAAGACAUCAGCUAUGAUAUUCUUAAAGAUGGAACUUUUAGAGAAAUAACAUUUAAGCGAUGAUAUAAAUCUUCCAAGAGUUCACCUUUACUUAUCUCUUCGUAACCUAGGUUGACUAUAUAAUUUCUCUACCAUCGCCCGUUGUCUGAAUUAAAGUGCUUUUGGUAUAAAAAAGAAACGGCAAAUAAAGCGGCAAUUCAAGCAUUUAUUGUAAA
RNAcentral lists this long non-coding RNA (846 nucleotides) under Daphnia pulex (common water flea). RNAcentral's name for it is "uncharacterized LOC124204787". The record is from RNAcentral. Lineage: Eukaryota; Metazoa; Arthropoda; Branchiopoda; Diplostraca; Daphniidae.